This 598-nucleotide long non-coding RNA is filed under the name Gallus gallus (chicken). The record is from RNAcentral. Lineage: Eukaryota; Metazoa; Chordata; Aves; Galliformes; Phasianidae.
CUUUCGUCUUCCUCAUCUUCUCCUCCAUGGGGAAGAGCAGAUCGGGGUGGUUCACCUUACACACGUAGCCAUCCCCUCCGUCCCAUUCGCUGGCGCACACCGUGGCCACCCCGUCCACCGUGUAGAGGCCGUUGCUUUGCAGGACCCUCUUCCCCAACGCCGUCUCCAGUUUGCCCCCCUUCUCCUUCCACCACGACACCUCCAGGCCGUCGGCGUUCACCAUGUUGCUCACCCGGCACGUCAGCGUGGCCGAUUUGCUGAUGAAGAUGUCCACGAAGGACGGCGUGAUGACGCGGAUGGCGAUGUCCUGCUGCACGACGGGUUCUAAUCCGCACUCCAUCCUCUUGCUGGUGUUCCUCAUCUCCCCCUCCACGACGCAGCUGAAGGUGGCCCCGGUGUCCCAUUCGCUUUCGGUGACGCUGAUGCGGCUCUCGGCCACCACUUCGGGGCCGACGGUGGUGGCGGUGGUGGCGGCGGCGGCGGCGACGGGGCUGCCAUUUUUGUACCACGUGACCUCGGUGGGACGGCGGCGCCCGCGGGUCUGGCAGAGGAUGGAGGCGUUGCGGAAGGGGCCUUCGAAGUCCUCGCGGGAUGGGGG